AGGACGAACGCUGGCGGCGUGCUUAACACAUGCAAGUCGAGCGGAAAGGCCACUUCGGUGGUACUCGAGCGGCGAACGGGUGAGUAACACGUGAGUAAUCUGCCCUCCACUUUGGGAUAGCCACCGGAAACGGUGAUUAAUACCGGAUAUGACCUUUGCCCGCAUGGGUGUUGGUGGAAAGUUUUUCGGUGGGGGAUGUGCUCGCGGCCUAUCAGCUUGAUGGUGGGGUAAUGGCCUACCAUGGCUUCGACGGGUAGCCGGCCUGAGAGGGUGACCGGCCACACUGGGACUGAGACACGGCCCAGACUCCUACGGGAGGCAGCAGUGGGGAAUAUGGACAAUGGGACGGAAGCCUGAUCCAGCAACGCCGCGUGACGGGAGUGACGGCCGUUCGGGUUGUAAACCCGUCUUUCGCCGUCGCGACGAAGCGAAAGUGACGUAGCAGGUAAGAAGCGACCGACAACGACGUCG
This 471-nucleotide ribosomal RNA is filed under the name uncultured soil bacterium. RNAcentral's name for it is "bacterial SSU rRNA". It matches the Rfam family "Bacterial small subunit ribosomal RNA", at positions 26 to 508 of the family's 1533-position model. The record is from RNAcentral.